GCGCCUGUAGCUCAGCUGGAUAGAGCGCCGGACUACGAAUCCGUAGGCCAGAGGUUCGAAUCCUCUCAGGCGCACCA
RNAcentral lists this transfer RNA (77 nucleotides) under Maridesulfovibrio ferrireducens. RNAcentral describes it as "Desulfovibrio ferrireducens tRNA_Arg_ACG". It matches the Rfam family "tRNA". Rfam says of the family: Transfer RNA (tRNA) molecules are approximately 80 nucleotides in length. The record is from RNAcentral. Lineage: Bacteria; Pseudomonadati; Thermodesulfobacteriota; Desulfovibrionia; Desulfovibrionales; Desulfovibrionaceae.